Molecule: ribosomal RNA, 463 nt
Filed under: uncultured bacterium
Lineage: Bacteria
Description: partial 16S ribosomal RNA
Rfam family: Bacterial small subunit ribosomal RNA
Source: RNAcentral
AGUGAACGCUGGCGGCGUGCCUAAUACAUGCAGGUCGAACGAUGAAGUCCUAGCUUGCUAGGAUGGAUUAGUGGCGCACGGGUGAGUAAUAUAUAGUUAAUCUGCCCUACACAGAGGAACAACAGUUGGAAACGACUGCUAAUACCUCAUACUCCUAUUUGACAUAAGUUAAAUAGGGAAAGUCUUUUCGGUGUAGGAUGAGACUAUAUCGUAUCAGCUAGUUGGUAAGGUAAUGGCUUACCAAGGCUAUGACGCGUAACUGGUCUGAGAGGAUGAUCAGUCACAUUGGAACUGAGACACGGUCCAAACUCCUACGGGAGGCAGCAGUAAGGAAUAUUGCGCAAUGGGGGAAACCCUGACGCAGCAACGCCGCGUGGAGGAUGACACUUUUCGGAGCGUAAACUCCUUUUAUCAGGAAAGAAUAAUGACGGUACCUGAUGAAUAAGCACCGGCUAACUCCGUG